Molecule: long non-coding RNA, 1977 nt
Filed under: Manduca sexta (tobacco hornworm)
Lineage: Eukaryota; Metazoa; Arthropoda; Insecta; Lepidoptera; Sphingidae
Description: uncharacterized LOC119193805
Source: RNAcentral
GGAAUGCUUCCUGUUGACAUUAUAAAAUUAAUAAAUGAAAGAUAGUAUUGAAGAGCGCUAUCACUCAGAUGGGAUAUAAAAGAGUAUGGGAUGCCAUCAAAUCCAGGAGUAGAAUCUACAGUAUUCUGGACAACACCUUUUAAUUCGUCAAUGUGAAAUGGAAAUAAGUCAUCAGCGGCGGUACAAAGAAUUUGUGCUAAAGCUUCAGCACACAUCUGUUCCUUGCCAUUGGUGACCUCGGAAGAGAAGAAAGCUGACUGUCUACCUUUUUACUAAAUUUCGUCCAGAGUUCACUGCAUUUAUUUGGCAGUUUAUAUUUUAAAAGAGGCUUUUUUGGUGGCACAUUGCUGUAUGGAGAAGGAAAUGUGAUUUUAAUUGGGAAAUGAUCACUGCCAAAUGAAGAGGAUAAAGUAGACCAAGUAAGAAAAGAUGCAAAGUUUGGGGUGCAAAUAGAUAGAUCUAAUGCACUCUGAUUGGUGUUGUUAGGAGUGUUACGACGAGUAGGUGUGCCUGAAUUUAAUACACAUAGGUUGUGCAUAUCUAAUAUCUCCAGAAGCUCUUCACCAUACUGAUUAGAUAUAGAGCUACCCCAAGAUUGAUGAUGACAAUUGAAAUCUCCCAACAACAGGAAAUGUUGGGGAAGAAAGGAUAUAAGGUUAUUAAUUUCAUGAAGUAAAGGAAGUGAAGGGUGAGAGAUAUAAACAGAAACAAGACAAAUGUUAUUGACAUUUAGAGCCACUAUAGAUAUUUCAUCGCUAUGUGAAGGAAGAGAAAUUACUGAAUAUGGCACUGAGUCUUUAAUGAGUAUGGCAGCACCACCAUACCCAUCUUGUCUAUCUUCUCUGAUUAUACUAUAACCAUUAAUUUUGAAGGUAUAGUUUGGUUUGAGCCAUGUCUCAGAAAGAGCAAAAGCCCAUGGCUCAUAUUUAUUAAUUAAAUAAAUUAAUUCACUUUUUUUAUUGGUUAUACUGCGGCAAUUCCAUUGUAUUAUUAGAUUCAGAUUGUCCAUUUUGGGAAAGAGAUGAGGAAAGACUAUUUAAAAGAGGAGCAACGUUGGACGGUGAUAAAUUAAAAUGUGUAAUAAUAGUAAUCAAUGCUGAAAUAAGUUCUUUUACAUUAAACUGUUUAGGCUGGGGAUCUUGUGUAUUAUUAUUAAGAGCACAUCCAUUGGUGGGUUCAGGAAUUUUAAAAUCUUUCAAUAUAUUAUUAUGUGCUUCUUUGUUGUAUCCCUUAGUAGGAGUGACUGGCGAGUAUGGUUUCCGGAAAAUAGUUUUUUUAUAACUGCUAAACUGUUGCUGCCUCAAGACAACAGGUUCGGGAACACUUGGAUCAUGAGACGGUCGGGAAAUAAGAGUGUCUGCAAAAGAUUUGGAAACUGGUGGAAAAUGUUUACUGGCUUCAGCAUAAGAAAUUGAACUCUGAGCCAUAUGCGACUUAAUUUGUUUUUGGCGUUCAUACUCAGGACAUAAUUUGCUAGUAGCAUAAUGAUAUCCAGAACAUAAGCAACAGGAAGCACUUCCCUCAGCUAUAUCACAACAUUCAGCAGUAUGAUUGUCUCCACACUUAUAGCAGCGGGGUUUAGAUCUGCAUUGAGUUUUUGUGUGACCAAACCGACAGCAAUUAAAACAUUGUAUUGUAGGAUAGAUGUAAAGGUCCACAGGCAGUGCAUUGUAACAAAUAAAAAUUCUUUUUGGUAGAACUUGCCCAUCAAAUGUUAAAACAACUGUUUGGGAAGGUUUCCACACAGUUGAGCCUUCAAUAAUAGCUUUGAAAUUUAAACGCCUCACUUUUAAAAUAGGCCCACAGCCAAUGGGAACAGAGGUGUUCUCCAAAACCUCCUCUGGAGACCAUUCGGCAGGAACUCCACGUACCAACCCCAUACGAGUUACAUUAAAUGUUGGGAUAAAUGCCUUUAAAUUAGAUUUAUUAAGACUUUCAUGACAAAUAAAAGAAUUGGCAUCAAUAUGAGAAGAAAAA